Molecule: long non-coding RNA, 323 nt
Organism: Hippoglossus stenolepis (Pacific halibut)
Lineage: Eukaryota; Metazoa; Chordata; Actinopteri; Pleuronectiformes; Pleuronectidae
Exons: 4
Source: RefSeq, a predicted model, not a curated record
UAAGCAGUAGCCUCAGUGUUACAGACCCAGGUACAGACAACUGCUGCUGCGUUUAACAACCGAGAAAAUGAGAACGAAGACCGUGAUCCUGCUCAUUGCCCUUGUGGUCCUGCUCAAAGUGGUUUCCAAUGAUGCUGGAGCAGACGAUCAGGUUAUUCCAAACGACAGUUUCGAAAAAGAGUUUAAUGAACAUUCCAGUGAUCGUGAGGAGGAGCCUAAAGCAGCUGCCAGCCUUGCGGGAGAAAACCGUUCCCAGGACUCAGACGAGAAAUGACAAGAGAAAGAAACUUUUUGAAAAGAACUUAAAUGAAUAAAGACAAUAA